This 551-nucleotide ribosomal RNA is filed under the name Escherichia coli. RNAcentral's name for it is "partial 23S ribosomal RNA". It matches the Rfam family "Bacterial large subunit ribosomal RNA", at positions 419 to 971 of the family's 2925-position model. The record is from RNAcentral. Lineage: Bacteria; Pseudomonadati; Pseudomonadota; Gammaproteobacteria; Enterobacterales; Enterobacteriaceae.
GGGACACGUGGUAUCCUGUCUGAAUAUGGGGGGACCAUCCUCCAAGGCUAAAUACUCCUGACUGACCGAUAGUGAACCAGUACCGUGAGGGAAAGGCGAAAAGAACCCCGGCGAGGGGAGUGAAAAAGAACCUGAAACCGUGUACGUACAAGCAGUGGGAGCACGCUUAGGCGUGUGACUGCGUACCUUUUGUAUAAUGGGUCAGCGACUUAUAUUCUGUAGCAAGGUUAACCGAAUAGGGGAGCCGAAGGGAAACCGAGUCUUAACUGGGCGUUAAGUUGCAGGGUAUAGACCCGAAACCCGGUGAUCUAGCCAUGGGCAGGUUGAAGGUUGGGUAACACUAACUGGAGGACCGAACCGACUAAUGUUGAAAAAUUAGCGGAUGACUUGUGGCUGGGGGUGAAAGGCCAAUCAAACCGGGAGAUAGCUGGUUCUCCCCGAAAGCUAUUUAGGUAGCGCCUCGUGAAUUCAUCUCCGGGGGUAGAGCACUGUUUCGGCAAGGGGGUCAUCCCGACUUACCAACCCGAUGCAAACUGCGAAUACCGGAGAAU